RNAcentral lists this unclassified non-coding RNA (230 nucleotides) under plant metagenome. RNAcentral describes it as "partial contains small subunit ribosomal RNA, internal transcribed spacer 1, and 5.8S ribosomal RNA". The record is from RNAcentral.
UCUCCGUUGGUGAACCAGCGGAGGGAUCAUUACAGAGUUGCAAAACUCCCAACCAUUGUGAACGCUACCUAUCCCGUUGCUUCGGCGCGCGGCCCGGGCCCCGCGCCCGGCGCCCCCCGGCCCCCCGUGGGCCCCCGCCGGGGGUCAACCAAACCCUUGAAUUGCAUGGCCUCUCUGAGUCUUCUGUACUAAAUAAGUCAAAACUUUCAACAACGGAACUCUUGGUUCUG